Pseudopipra pipra is the source of this 1150-nucleotide long non-coding RNA. RefSeq lists it as uncharacterized. The transcript has 3 exons. Lineage: Eukaryota; Metazoa; Chordata; Aves; Passeriformes; Pipridae. The record is from RefSeq and is a predicted model, not a curated record.
AAUAGGAGUUUAUACUGAAGACUGACAGAAGAACUGGAGAGUUGUGAACAUUUCUAUGGCAACACUAAAUGUUGGGUACGUGAAGAGGCAGGUUGACAGCAUGAAGUGAGAGACAGGGAGCUGGCAGAAGCUUGAAGAAAUUUGGGAACUGCAAGAUCCUGAAUUCAGAAAAGGUAAUAGAAAACUGCCAUGACUCAGCUUAAUAAGGAAUGUGAGAGUGGUUAAGGCAGCUAAGAGAAAUGUGAAGUAUUAUUGCUACCAGUGGACUAUUCCCUUGUUCUUUCAAUAUUGCUCCAAGAACUAAAUGGAUCCUUCAAAAUCUGGCUAACUACCAAGGACACAAUCAAACAUCUGUGCACCAGAUGCAGAAAGCAUUAUAUCCAGCUGUGUUACUGCAGCUACAUCUGCAGAAUGCAGCAUAUGUCAACUUCCAUGGCCAGCAGGCUUUGGAAAUGCUAUCUACAGGAAUUAAAGCUUUCAACAGAAGUUAAAGUGGGUACUUUGCUUUCAACUUUUCUAUGUCUUCUUUUACCUCUCUACAUUUCUUGCCUGAAUUACUUGUAAGUUUGAAAUAUUGGACUGAUAUAGCAUGUGGUUUUUCACCAGUGGAGAGCUGAUUUCAAGUUAUUAUAAAGAAAAGAAAAUGCAAUAAUUAAAGGAUUCAGAAAAAUUGUCUUUUCUUCUUAUGAAUCUGGUGAAGUCCUAUAUGGUAUACGACCAGGAAAAUAGAGGAGAGUGCUUCUUUCAGAGGCUACUAGAGCAAACUUCCAGAAGAAUUUGAGAAUUUCUGUUCAACUUGCUGGAGCAAUGAGUUUUUCUCAGUAGGAUAUACUGUAGGUUUCCCUACCAAAUACUCAGAAGCAUACUGAGGUUGUCUUACUACAUAAGGUCUGUCAUUCAUUGUAAAAUUUAUUUUACAUAUUACCCUUCUUUCCUUUUCCAUUCCCCUCUGUUGCAAUUGUCAUAAAAACAGGGGGAAGAAUAUUGUAUUUGUAUAUCUCAAUUUCUCCUUCCUAACAGUGUAACUAGACCUUGUUAGGGAAAGCCAUUAGCAAGUUAGCAAAAGGAAAUGAAAAUAUUUUAUUUCACAAAAAGGAGAAGAAGCAGCCUUUGGUGGAUGUAGAUUAAUAAAAGUGGCUACACUUUUUAA